AGACAGCAGAGUGCUUAGAGGAGAGUGUGACACGGCACCAAGAGCAGACAUUUUAGAAGACAACGCCGCUGCUCUCCACAGACUGACAGAAGUACACCUUAAGCACCGGGCAAGGCAAACCACCUAAGAAUUCACAUGAAGACCCUAUUUCAGCUCAGACAGCAAACAGGUGGCAGUUACCACCUUUUCUCAGCUGGCAUCUCAGAAGAAACCAAAAGAAAUGUUUUGUUGGGAACCCACCGAAUUCUUUGAAAACACAGCAACCAAGCCUUCAGUGGCACCCAGCUACCUAGAAUUCAACUCUAUUUUUUCCUCUAAUAGCCUGCAGCCACCGAAACCACUGCAGCCACACGAGACCGCAGGACACUUCACCUGUCACCAUGCCACAGGCUUUCCCAAGUCUGUAAACACUACGGUAUAUCCAUAGAUUUAGAGAGGAGGAAGAGGCGUUGCAACCGCCAGCCAAGAAGAAAUAGCAGCUCAGAAACACAGGAAAAAGCUGAGUGCUACCAGGCCUGGCAAAACAGAAAGCAGAACCACGUCCUCUGAGAUGCAGGCUUUCUCAAUACUCCUGCUACCAGGAAGCAAAAGCGUGGAAUGCAGUCAGAUACAUUUGAUUCAUAAGAAGAUGAGCAACUCCUUACUGUUAAAGGUUUACACUUAUACUUGACACAGCAGAUUGAUCAACUUCCAGAAGUUUUGCAGUGUUUCACAACAACUUACACCUUCAAUAGUGCAAGGAACUUUGUUUUCUAUUUCAUAUGAACUAAUAUUACAGCAAAAUCAGUGCCAGAUCACCUUUCCUAUUCUUUUUUGGAAAACAAUACAGUAUUCCUUUCCUAGAGUUCUGCUGCAUUUCUCACACCCUGCUCCACUUCCUCUGAUCAUUCUAUCAUUUACCAGAACACUAUAGCUGAAAGGGGGAAAAAAAAGGAACAGGCAUCUCAAUACUCAUUAGAGAAACCAUGAACUCGUUAAACUUCAAUCCCCACCUACUUCUGCUUCUGUAGAAUCACUUUCUCUGCGCACCACGGUGUAAGAACUCACUGUUUUCGUUUUUACCAUCAGGAGAAGGGUAAAGGAGCAUACAGUUUGGUUACAGCUCCAGGAGAAUAGAAAAGCUGUGGUGCAACCUGCUUACAUCACCCUCACAUUUUUACUGCCCACGAGGGUAAGAGGAAGGAAAGAAGAGGAAAGAAACUGAAUAAAAGGGAACUUGUUUGCUCUGUGCCUUAACUCAUGGGCAGCGUUCUCACGCAUUUCUUUCUUCCCUGCUUUAGUUCAAAAACUUCAGCUUAACCACCGCAGCUCUCUCAGUGAAGAGGCACUCACCUGCCAGAAAACAGAAGCACUGGGGAAAAUAACCCUGACUCUAUGGAUCCUCAACAGCUGUGCUGAGAGCAGAGGGCAAAGGACAGCCAACUUCCCUUCGCACAAAGCUGCUCAACAUUCACACAGCACCUGCCUGUUGCAGACCCCCACCUUCCUCUCAAAGGCUACACGCUACAUGAAAGCACAUCUCUUAUCGCUUUAUUCCCCACAUACCCCGAAUUCCACCUUCCUCCAACUCCUCCUUGCCAAGAACACGCUCGGCACUGACCGAAACACCUCUAACUCCCUAAACUAAGGAGGGGAAGAGGAACGGUAACAACCACCCUCAGCUGCCACGACCUUCAGCUCUACACUGCACUUUGUUUUCCUCACAACAGUGAGGGACGUCGAAUGUUAGGCAACACCGAGAGGGCUAAAUCACCUCGGGAAGCCCGAGCUGCUUCUCGCACACGAGACGCAGACAACGAGACGCUCACAAGGGACGACCGCGACCACACCGCGUCCCGACCCCACGCGGCGCCCCCCGCGCAGGGCGCAUGCGCGCUGCCCACCCUUCGCCCACCGCCGGGCAACGGCCAGAGCCCCACGCAUGCGCGCUGCACGCUGCGCACAACCGGAACCGCCGCCGCCACCACCACCCCCUCAGCCGACCCCCGCGCCAGCUACUCACCAUGUACCAGGUCCCCAAAAUUAUGGUGCCGGUCCGCACAUGGCAGCAACCACAACAGCGAGUACUGUAAAAACGGUCGCGGCUUCGCUUGAACGUCAUACUGGCAGCUGCUCCGCCGCACUCCCUCCGCCGGCCGCCUUCCUCCGGCCUCGCCGCUCGCCGUCUCCCAGCACUUCCCCUCAGCUGAGGGCCGUAAAACCCCCGCUCUCGCGUCACCGCCGUUCUGGCCAAUCGGAUGUCGACAGCGGGGGCGCGAAGGGGUGUGCUCGAGGGAGGGCCUACGGGUUGCCGCGGCAACAGCGGAUUGGCAGCGCCGCGGGCCAAUCGCAGUGCCCUAAGUGCAACGCCCUGCCGUUCACCUGCUUGGCGGCGGGGUGGGGCUCACCUGAGGCGAGGUGCGGUAGGGGCUGUCCGGCGUCCGCCAUCUUGGGGAGGAGCUGCCCGCCCUCACCUCAGCGCUGAGGCAGCCUGCCGUGGCGGUGGGUGCUGUGUUGUCUGUGGCUGGUGCUUGGGGCGCUUCCUCCUGAGGACCAGCGGGGACAGCCAUAAAACAUUACGAAGAAAAUUUUGCAGACAGCCCUUUGUUAUAGAGGGAAAGCGAAGUCACUUCAGCGGACCUCAAAGCACCCAAAUCCCACACAUUCUACUGAAAUUCAGCUAGUGUUGUUGCAAGUCUAAUUCACUUAAACCCUUUUGCUGCUCUUUUAGAGCAAAUCCUCGGUAUUAAUAUUGUGCAUUACGUGGUGAGAGGAUGCAUGAGCACAGUGUGAAUGGAAGAGUUGAGCUUGAGUUCACACAUGCUUUAAUUUUUUAUGAGUCCCACAUCCCUGUUCCUCGGUGGUGACAACCCUGCUAGUCCCACUGAAAGCUGCAGGUGCUACCAAAUGCAUGUGUUAAUUAGAAGUAAUGUAUGUAAAUUCUGAGUGCUGCAUGUGUAUGUGUGAGAGAUAAGGAGUGCUCCUGUUCCCAUAGAGAGGGGCACCCGUAACCUUCCCCUGACCCGAGCACAGCCGCGGGUUUGCAGACCUGCUCUGUUGAUACAGAUACGUACACGGUUUAUUUUAACCUUAGUGCAGCUGCAAGUAUUUCCUUCUUGGCUGUAUACAACUGUUUGGAGACACUCGUAGAACAUAAAUAUUUGCUGUGUGUAUAUACACCAAGACGUAUGUUAUCUGUCAGUAUUAAUACUGGUUGCUCGUUCUGAACAAUGAGAAGGUAACAAGGGUGACUAGUUCUCCCGUUGAUACAUUCCAGAUCCUACAAUUAACACGUUUUAUUGUUUGAGCUACUUAGUCUAUUUUUAAACAUGAACUGUUGCUGAGUUGUUUGAAAUGAUUUACUUAAAGGCUUUAGAACUGACCUUUUUUUAUUUUAAAUCCCCCAUGUUCCAUAAUCGGUGUUUUUCUUCCUUAGGGCACAUUUCAUUUUUGAAUAAACAUGUUGUAAGUGCUGCUAAGACUGUUCUAAUGAUCCUGUUAUAAACUAUUGUUUGUUUCUUUAGUGCUCCUAAUGUUCCCCGUGCACAGAUGCUUAAUUAUCAACAGACUGACUUAACGUAACAAAACUGGACUGAUUUUAAUCAAUAUACAUAUGGCAUGUUGGGAAGCCUAAGCCAACUGUUUCUGCAACAUUCACAACUGAUUCCACUGUUCCUGCAGAGCAGAGAGGCUCUCCCUCCCAUAGGUCUCUCCAUACGUGAGAGAGGACUUCAAAGGAUGAGAAUGGGUCAGAAGAGUUUCUUGCUUGAGUUAGGUCAUCCACUUGGAAGCACCCACAUCCCACUCCCAAUUUAAAGAAGUGUGAUGGUUUGUGAGGGCAAGUUCUUGAAUGAAGAUCUUCCACAGCUGGAAACUUUGCUUUUGCUAUUCUUGCUGGCAGCUCUCGUGUCAGGCUCAGAUCUUCAGGGCUAUUUUCAUGAGAUGAAAGAAAUCUUAAUUAAGUGUUCAUAUCUUUGUCAGCCAGACUCGGAAUGAGAACUGAUGCAUUUCCCAUGAGCUUCACCACUUGUUAUACUCUGCAGACAACAAAGAUACUGAGAGGAAUAAUGUGAAUGUAAUUUAACAUCGCAAAGCAGCUUUCCACAGCUGGAUAGGUUGAUGUGGAACUGUUGAGUGGGGAAAAAAAAAUCUCUCUAUUAUCUCCUCCCCUCACAAGAAAAAAAAAAAAAAAAAAGAGCAUUUAGAGAAUGAUUGCAUUGUUUCCUGUAAAAUGGAGAAGAGAGGAUAGGUUAAUAACUUCAGUCCUACUCCCUGUGAAAGAUACCAGUUUCUCCAUGCCACAGGCAGUCCAGACGACCUCAGGGAAGACACUUCCUUCUCUUUGAGCCUUAAUUCUCUUCUUUUGCUAGUUCAAAGAAGAUUUGUGAGCCAAAAUGUAGUAAUAAUUCUGAAGGGCUCAGCUCAGCUUGCAGUCAUGAAUAUCAAUAUCAAUAUCAAGAGAGACAGAAAGAUCUUUUCUUCCCAAAUAGCAAAAAGACUUGGCACAGUGGGAGCAAAUUGUCCACUUCUUACAACAGUAAGAGUAGAAGGCCCAAGACAUACCAGCUAGUGAUAAGCAGCUCCAAAGGAUUCCAGUUCCCUUACAAGCACGGUGCUUAACUCCUUCCCUCCAUACAUGCUGAGAGGGAAGGAGUGUUGAGAUCAUGGUGUUACCCUCAUCACCUCAUUACCCAGGCUGGUUAAGUGUUCAAAGUCUACGUCUAGACAGAAAAUUUUAAUUCUGUCUUGAGAGUGCAUGGCAAUGUUUUGCCAAACAUAAAGUAUUGUUUUUGAAUAAUCAUAUUCAUUUCGUUCUGUUUGAAUAUAAUCAUACUCAAUAUAAUAGCCAGCAGGACAGCUAGGGUCAUGUAAAUAAGGCACCAGGUUGCAUUCUCCUUCCUGCUCCUCUGUGAUUCAUUUUCUUCAAAAAAAAAAGAGUCCAAUGCCUGUAAGGUGCCAACACAGUACAGCACGGAGACUGUUCUAUGCAGAUUUUUGAGAUUCCAUUUUGUUCCAUCUUUUGUUCCAUUCUCAAUCUACCCAUGGUUAAAAGAUGUGUAGAGUUAUACCGUAGCCAUUAUUUCUUGACUGCCGUGCACUGAGUUAUUGUUAGGCUGCGUAUGAAAAAUGAAGUGCUGUUCUCCUCCAGCGUUUUCUGUGCGUGUUUGAAUAAGGGAAAACCUGCACACCAUGGUCUGGUAAUCUUACGUAGCCUCCAUGGGCAUGGUUCAUACCACUUUAUAAUGAAAACACUGUGCUGUUUGGGGCUGGGGAAACUGAGGAACAGUGAGAUGAAGUGAUGUCACCGAUACCACAAAGGCUGGUGAAAGUGAUAGGAGCAACAAGCAAGUCUCCUGUCCUGUGGAUGUGAAAAUACCUGGGCUGAGAGCAUGGAUUGGCUUUUUGCUUCCUUAAAGAUGAUACGAGGGUAUUGGAAUAAAAGCAAAGCGUUGACAUGAGGAAAAAAACAACCUGAAAUAUAUUAGGUGGGAGAAAAACUUUCCUGAUCGUGACUCACACAGUGAAAUCCUGGGUAUCCUGACAUCAGCACUACCAAAUGUUACCACCCUUCUUCUCCAAGAUGGGUUCUGCUAGAAGAAAACAGACAAAUCCAAGCAUUCCGUGAUUUCUUGUAGAAGAGAGAAGAAUGUAUCACAAUGAGUUUUGUGGUUACUGGAUUUUACUUUAUUGAACUAAACAACAUCACUUUUGGAUCUCUAAAGUAACGUUCCAACCAUCUCUACUUUUUGUUUCAGUUGAUUGCUGUUAACAAUAUGAAUUAUCUGUUACUACAGAUACGUUCCAAACCUUUUAACUUCUAACAGAUGGUUCAGAAAGUCAGGGCUAGAAAAGCAGCUAAAAUAUGACAGCAUGAUGUAAAACUUUUAUUAACACAAGCGUGUUUCUGGGUUACUUGUACUCUCGGGCUUUCUUAAUAUCAAUAACUAAAAAAAGUUGCCAUAUUCAUUUGCGGAAUCAGUUUGCUAACCCAGAAGAGUGAUAGUUCAUUUAAAUCAGCCUUCAUACAGCUGAGGAGAAAUAAAAAUGUCUGAAAAUAACCUACAGCGUUUUCCUCAAUCUAGACCUGUACUUGCAAGUUCAGAUAUCUCAGUGGUUUCCCAUGUCAAGAAAUGAGCACUGGCUCUCUCUGCAAAUGGGGCAUGUCCUUUACUUACUGGCAGUCCCCUUCUCCCAGCCCUGAGCCCAGACGUGCCUCUCUGUGGGUGUUGGAAGGAUGGAGAGGUGCCUGGGAAUCUGCAUGCUCUCUGCUCACAGAAGGAGGAAGCAUUACAUGGUGGUUUGUUGCUUUUUUAGCACUGCCUCUCCGAAUUGCUUUCCAGUUUGGGACUGUGGGAAAGAGUUCCAGGAGUAGAGUGGCAGGCAGCUGAUGCACUCAGAAGUGCCCGAUGAAGCCCUUCGUGUCACUGUGGCUUACAGUGCUCAGAACCGCCGCCAAAGGACAAUAGUGCACAUGGGCAGAAAUCAAAGUAUGACAUAAAUUUGUGAAGUUUCUAGUAGUUUUUAAUGGGGCAGUCCAAGGGUCAGUUACUGUUACAGUGCCAUUUUCCUGAGGAGACACAGGGAGUUUAUUUCGGAGCCCAAUGGCACUGCAGUGACCUUCAGCAGGGAAGGACACUUCUGUCACAGAUAGGAACAUCUGCAGAGCAGAAUGUCAGGGGUGGCACAUGCUGGAAAGUUCUGUUUACCUUGAAAAGACCCCUGAGUCCAAGUCAGUACUAUCACAGAAGGACAAGACUUCCCAUAUCUGAUCUUUGUAGACUGUAACUUUAGCCCUCUCUCUUCACAAAGAGUUAUUUUGGCAUUAUACAGCAAGCCUUUGUUGUUAGCAUAACAAAUAAAUUAUUUUC
Long non-coding RNA from Gallus gallus (chicken), 6848 nucleotides. RefSeq lists it as uncharacterized. Lineage: Eukaryota; Metazoa; Chordata; Aves; Galliformes; Phasianidae. The record is from RefSeq and is a predicted model, not a curated record. The transcript has 3 exons.